UACGGAGGGUGCAAGCGUUAAUCGGAAUUACUGGGCGUAAAGCGUACGUAGGCGGCUUGUUAAGCAAGAUGUGAAAUCCCCGGGCUCAACCUGGGAAUGGCAUUUUGAACUGGCAGGCUCGAGUUCUGAAGAGGGUGGUAGAAUUUCCAGUGUAGCGGUGAAAUGCGUAGAUAUAUGGAGGAACACCGGUGGCGAAAGCGGCCCUCUGGGCCUGUACUGACACUGAGGCGCGAAAGCGUGGGGAGCAAACAGG
RNAcentral lists this ribosomal RNA (253 nucleotides) under uncultured microorganism. RNAcentral describes it as "partial 16S ribosomal RNA". It matches the Rfam family "Bacterial small subunit ribosomal RNA", at positions 524 to 776 of the family's 1533-position model. The record is from RNAcentral.